CCUUCGAUAGCUCAGUUGGUAGAGCGGAGGACUGUAGAGGCUGAAGCUGAAAUCCUUAGGUCGCUGGUUCGAAUCCGGCUCGAAGGA
This 87-nucleotide transfer RNA is filed under the name Oryzias latipes (Japanese medaka). It matches the Rfam family "tRNA". Rfam says of the family: Transfer RNA (tRNA) molecules are approximately 80 nucleotides in length. Their secondary structure includes four short double-helical elements and three loops (D, anti-codon, and T loops). Lineage: Eukaryota; Metazoa; Chordata; Actinopteri; Beloniformes; Adrianichthyidae. The record is from Rfam by way of RNAcentral.